GAUGAACGCUGGCGGCGUGCCUAAUACAUGCAAGUCGAGCGAACAGACGAGGAGCUUGCUCCUCUGACGUUAGCGGCGGACGGGUGUGUAACACGUGGAUAACCUACCUAUAAGACUGGGAUAACUUCGGGAAACCGGAGCUAAUACCGGAUAAUAUAUUGAACCGCAUGGUUCAAUAGUGAAAGACGGUUUUGCUGUCACUUAUAGAUGGAUCCGCGCCGCAUUAGCUAGUUGGUAAGGUAACGGCUUACCAAGGCGACGAUGCGUAGCCGACCUGAGAGGGUGAUCGGCCACACUGGAACUGAGACACGGUCCAGACUCCUACGGGAGGCAGCAGUAGGGAAUCUUCCGCAAUGGGCGAAAGCCUGACGGAGCAACGCCGCGUGAGUGAUGAAGGUCUUCGGAUCGUAAAAUUCUGUUAUUAGGGAAGAACAAAUGUGUAAGUAACUAUGCACGUCUUGACGGUACCUAAUCAGAAAGCCACGGCUAACUACGUG
RNAcentral lists this ribosomal RNA (497 nucleotides) under uncultured bacterium. Its description in RNAcentral is "partial 16S ribosomal RNA". It matches the Rfam family "Bacterial small subunit ribosomal RNA", at positions 28 to 507 of the family's 1533-position model. The record is from RNAcentral.